This is a long non-coding RNA of Archocentrus centrarchus (flier cichlid), 875 nucleotides long. RefSeq lists it as uncharacterized. Lineage: Eukaryota; Metazoa; Chordata; Actinopteri; Cichliformes; Cichlidae. The transcript has 4 exons. The record is from RefSeq and is a predicted model, not a curated record.
AUUUUUAAUAAAGGUCCUGCUAAUGAGCAGACGGUGAAUCAGGAUGAACAUCAGCAGCAAGUGUACUCCUCUCUUCUUCAUGGUGAUCGUUGUGUCUAUGAGACAAUCAGAGGCUCUGAAAACACUGAAAAUGGUCCACCUGAAGGUGAUUACACCAAUGUCACAUCUGUGAUUCAGCUCAAAGUCAUUAACAAGACGAGACAACGUGGUGACCCAGAGGAGAGCUCUGACUACUAUAAUGUGAAUCCAAAUUCAGCCACAGCUCUAAAAUCUUAACAGCAGCUCUUUAGCUGUUUUUAUCUUUUUCUCUUUAAAGGAACUUAAAAACUUGACGUCACUUUGAGUGAAAAGGAGCAGAUUUUUCAUUCAAAGCAAUGAUCCUGAUAGCCUGAGUUUAUAUUUCCUUCAGAAAGAAUCCCUCAGUGUGUUUCAGUCGUUUAUCUUCCUUUAAAUCAGAGGAGUCCAAACUAUGGCUCACGGGCCAAACAUGGCCCAUGCUCAGAUUUUUUUAUGGCCCAUGCAUCUUGUCCAUACAUGUUAUUUUUGGCCCACCGGCCCAAGCAAUGAAUUCAACUCAGCAUGUAAUUCCAAAAAGUGAUUUUUGGAAAGUGCCAAUAAAAAACAAAAAACGAUGUAUUUAAACUGGUGUAAAUGACUUUUUGGCUCCAAUCGGUCAAACAUAUCUGUCAUUCUGUAAUUUCCCUAUUGUGGGAUCAAUAAAGUAUCAUCAUCGUCAUCAUGAAUGAUAUCAAUUCAUUCUGAGUGAGAACAAAUCCUGUCACAGGUAGAAGCUGCAAUUACAUUUUGGCAAAGCAGCUUUUAUGUAUUUUUUAUUUAUCAGGAAAAAUUUCAUUUUUUUCAUAGAGAUCUGGUCA